UACGGGGGGAGCAAGCGUUGUUCGGAUUUACUGGGCGUAAAGGGCGCGUAGGCGGCCACUGCAAGUCAGUUGUGAAAUCUCCGGGCUUAACUCGGAAAGGUCAACUGAUACUGCAGGGCUAGAGUGCAGAAGGGGCAACUGGAAUUCUCGGUGUAGCGGUGAAAUGCGUAGAUAUCUGGAGGAACACCGGUGGCGAAGGCGGCAUCCUGGACCGGUAUUGACGCUGAGGAGCGAAAGCCAGGGGAGCAAACGGG
This 254-nucleotide ribosomal RNA is filed under the name uncultured bacterium. Its description in RNAcentral is "partial 16S ribosomal RNA". It matches the Rfam family "Bacterial small subunit ribosomal RNA", at positions 524 to 776 of the family's 1533-position model. The record is from RNAcentral.